Molecule: long non-coding RNA, 593 nt
Filed under: Phoenix dactylifera (date palm)
Lineage: Eukaryota; Viridiplantae; Streptophyta; Magnoliopsida; Arecales; Arecaceae
Description: long non-coding RNA (PDAC_LNC011224)
Source: RNAcentral
AGUGCUCCAAAUUCUAAAUGCUGCGGUUGCUUGAGAUGGGAAGCUGGGAAGAUAUUGACGUUGGGAAGUUGAGAAGACUCAUGGAACAAGUUGGGAUUUAUUUGCUGGAAAUGAAGUGGAGGACUCGGCUUGGGAAUGAUCCGGUUACUGGGAUGCUUUUGCUACUGGGAUGGUUCCGCUGGAACACGUGGAUGGCCGUUGGGGUGUUGCUUCAUGGAUGAAAGAAAGAGCCGGUUUGGGAGACUGAAAACCAAGCGGCUUGAAGACCUUUUGCGCUGCUGAAAUACUGUUGUUGGGAGGUUGAACGUUGCAAAUGUGCUUGGAAACGGAUGAGACGCGGCUUGGGGACGACGUGAGAUGCCAUGCGGACGGUUUCUGGAUGUUGGAUCGUUGAAGAGUUGGGCAGUUUGGUCAGACGAUCUUGGCUGGGAAGCGGAGUGGUCACGAACGUCGCUGAUAGAAGCCACGCGCUGAGAUGGGGAGCGUUGAAUGUGGAAGCGACACGGGCAGAUGGCUUGCAGACGGUUUGGUUUCGUGUUUCCUUGGCGGAUGAGAUGCCACGGUGCUUGGAAUUGAAGAGCCCGUUUGCAUGU